This 1582-nucleotide ribosomal RNA is filed under the name Bacillus cereus ATCC 4342. RNAcentral's name for it is "bacterial LSU rRNA". It matches the Rfam family "Bacterial large subunit ribosomal RNA", at positions 1336 to 2925 of the family's 2925-position model. The record is from RNAcentral. Lineage: Bacteria; Bacillati; Bacillota; Bacilli; Caryophanales; Bacillaceae.
ACCGAAUGCCUAAGGUUUCCUGAGGAAGGCUCGUCCGCUCAGGGUUAGUCAGGACCUAAGCCGAGGCCGACAGGCGUAGGCGAUGGACAACAGGUUGAUACUCCUGUACCACCUCUUUAUCGUUUGAGCAAUGGAGGGACGCAGAAGGAUAGAAGAAGCGUGCGAUUGGUUGUGCACGUCCAAGCAGUUAGGCUGAUAAGUAGGCAAAUCCGCUUAUCGUAAAGGCUGAGCUGUGAUGGGGAAGCUCCUUAUGGAGCGAAGUCUUUGAUUCCCCGCUGCCAAGAAAGCUUCUAGCGAGAUAAAAGGUGCCUGUACCGCAAACCGACACAGGUAGGCGAGGAGAGAAUCCUAAGGUGUGCGAGAGAACUCUGGUUAAGGAACUCGGCAAAAUGACCCCGUAACUUCGGGAGAAGGGGUGCUUUCUUAACGGAAAGCCGCAGUGAAUAGGCCCAAGCGACUGUUUAGCAAAAACACAGCUCUCUGCGAAGCCGUAAGGCGAAGUAUAGGGGGGUGACACCUGCCCGGUGCUGGAAGGUUAAGGAGAGGGGUUAGCGUAAGCGAAGCUCUGAACUGAAGCCCCAGUAAACGGCGGCCGUAACUAUAACGGUCCUAAGGUAGCGAAAUUCCUUGUCGGGUAAGUUCCGACCCGCACGAAAGGUGUAACGAUUUGGGCACUGUCUCAACCAGAGACUCGGUGAAAUUAUAGUACCUGUGAAGAUGCAGGUUACCCGCGACAGGACGGAAAGACCCCGUGGAGCUUUACUGUAGCCUGAUAUUGAAUUUUGGUACAGUUUGUACAGGAUAGGCGGGAGCCUUUGAAACCGGAGCGCUAGCUUCGGUGGAGGCGCUGGUGGGAUACCGCCCUGACUGUAUUGAAAUUCUAACCUACGGGUCUUAUCGACCUGGGAGACAGUGUCAGGUGGGCAGUUUGACUGGGGCGGUCGCCUCCUAAAGUGUAACGGAGGCGCCCAAAGGUUCCCUCAGAAUGGUUGGAAAUCAUUCGUAGAGUGCAAAGGCAUAAGGGAGCUUGACUGCGAGACCUACAAGUCGAGCAGGGACAAAGUCGGGGCUUAGUGAUCCGGUGGUUCCGCAUGGAAGGGCCAUCGCUCAACGGAUAAAAGCUACCCCGGGGAUAACAGGCUUAUCUCCCCCAAGAGUCCACAUCGACGGGGAGUUUGGCACCUCGAUGUCGGCUCAUCGCAUCCUGGGGCUGUAGUCGGUCCCAAGGGUUGGGCUGUUCGCCCAUUAAAGCGGUACGCGAGCUGGGUUCAGAACGUCGUGAGACAGUUCGGUCCCUAUCCGUCGUGGGCGUAGGAAAUUUGAGAGGAGCUGUCCUUAGUACGAGAGGACCGGGAUGGACGCACCGCUGGUGUACCAGUUGUUCUGCCAAGGGCAUAGCUGGGUAGCUAUGUGUGGAAGGGAUAAGUGCUGAAAGCAUCUAAGCAUGAAGCCCCCCUCAAGAUGAGAUUUCCCAUAGCGUAAGCUAGUAAGAUCCCUGAAAGAUGAUCAGGUUGAUAGGUUCGAGGUGGAAGCAUGGUGACAUGUGGAGCUGACGAAUACUAAUAGAUCGAGGACUUAACCA